Molecule: unclassified non-coding RNA, 254 nt
Filed under: fungal sp.
Lineage: Eukaryota; Fungi
Description: partial internal transcribed spacer region
Rfam family: Eukaryotic small subunit ribosomal RNA (bases 1-45)
Source: RNAcentral
AGUCGUAACAAGGUUUCCGUAGGUGAACCUGCGGAAGGAUCAUUAACACAAAUUCAACUUCUAUUAUAUCUCCAAACACCUGGGUGAACUUUAUUCAACCAAAACUUAUUUUUUUUUUUCUUUUUUUGAUUAACCCCCAAAAAAAAUUGAUUAAAACAAACUCAAUAACCAAAAAAACAAUAAUAAAACAAAAAACAACAACAAAAACACUAACAAAAAAAACAACUCUUAACAAUGGAUAUCUUGGUUCUCGC